RNAcentral lists this ribosomal RNA (377 nucleotides) under Anodonta anatina. RNAcentral describes it as "partial 16S ribosomal RNA". It matches the Rfam family "Bacterial large subunit ribosomal RNA", at positions 1861 to 2525 of the family's 2925-position model. Lineage: Eukaryota; Metazoa; Mollusca; Bivalvia; Unionida; Unionidae. The record is from RNAcentral.
GCCCAGUGAAAUUUUAAACGGCCGCGUUAGCGUGAGCGUGCUAAGGUAGCGUAAUAAUUAGCCUUUUAAUUGGAGGCCAGUGAAUGGCAAGACUAGGAACACCUUUACUUUGUGUACAAAAAAAACUUUUCGUCUAAGUGAAAAGACUUAGAUAAUAAAGGUAGACGAAAAGACCCCGCGGAACUUUACCUUUUCCUGUACUACAGUAUAUUUGCUUAAAAGUAUUUAAGGUUUGAUUGGGGCAAUCUUGGAACCAACAAAGCUUCCAAUUUUUUAAAAAACCCAUUUAAAACUUAUUAUGGACCAAAAAGAAGUUACCCCGGGGAUAACAGCGUAAUCCAACUAAAGAGUACAUAUCGAAAGUUGGGUUUGCGACC